Molecule: ribosomal RNA, 119 nt
Organism: Rhineura floridana
Lineage: Eukaryota; Metazoa; Chordata; Lepidosauria; Squamata; Rhineuridae
Source: RefSeq, a predicted model, not a curated record
GGCUACAGCCAUACUACCCUAAACACGCCCGAUCUCAUCUGAUCUUGGAAGCUAAGUAGGGUCAGGCCUGGUUAGUACUCAGAUGGGAGACCGCCUGGGAAUACCGGGUGCUGUAGACG